Molecule: long non-coding RNA, 4745 nt
Organism: Cyprinus carpio (common carp)
Lineage: Eukaryota; Metazoa; Chordata; Actinopteri; Cypriniformes; Cyprinidae
Source: Ensembl
GAUCCCAACAUUUUUGAAUGGUAGUAUUUUUCUAUCUUUUUAAUCAAUCAAACAAUUUGCAAGCAGCCAACAAGGUCUGUACUCACCUUUCAUACUGCUGCUAUAUUUUUAUUUCAGUAGUGCAGUUCUGUGAUUCCCUGCAUGUCCAGCGGAGGGCCACUGCAUUCCAGCCAAAACAUGUUGAUCCAACCACAUGGAAGUACACAUCUGACGUCACAUCUCCCUAGUUAAAUAUAGGAGCCGUGAUUCUAUAUUUCAGAUCUGUUCUAUAAAAUCCCCAGUGAAGCCAUAUGCAGUUAGAUUUGAGAUAAAAAAGUGCUAAUUAGAAGCAUGAUUAACUUUAGUGUAAUAGAUCCUAAUGCCAAUUAUUAAUUUAAUCGAAAUCAUCAAAACACUUUAUUUUGAAAAAAUGAUUACUGUGGCGAUGCAAUAUCACUGACUGUACAUACAUUCAAUUAAUAACAUUAUCUGAAACAUCAAAAAUCAGACAUUUGAGUCUGUGAACAUGCAACUGUCUCCUUUUCUUUUGCUUCCAGUAGAGCACACCCCCUAUCACCUAAAAAGGCAAGAGUGCAACUGCUAAACGCUACACUGUCUAAGAAUAAACCAGGCUUGCAGUGUCUAAGGUUACCUUGAAGCACCCCAGCAUUUCUCCCGUCUCACGCUCAUGUGAGGCACCAAUAACAUGGGCUAAAUUACCAGCACUUAUUUGCUGCAUCCCCUGCAAGAGCCUGAACUCCCCUGUUUACGGCCAUGCCCUAACAUCCCAUUCUCCCCCAGCCAUGAUCUCAAAUCCGGCACUUUGAAAACCCUCAUCCUGCUUUUCUCACAAGAUUGUGAGGAUUCACCUGUGGAUUAAAUGGGGACAACAAAAAAGAACAUCUUUUCCUGAGUGGGAUUUAACAUCAACUGGGUGAAACGGUCCAAAUAAGAUUGGGAUACACAAGCGAAAUCAAAGGACACUCGGCUGAAGUACCACCAUGGCUCAGGCAACUAAAGGUCCCGUGGUGAAGUCCAUCCCUCCCACUGGUGUAGCUGCCCCGGCUAGAACAGCACACACAGACUCACUUACUGCCGGGAGCCAUGGAAUUUUACGAAUCAUGAAUCGCCCGGCACAGUGGGUGGUCAUCAUCACACUUCUGAUUUCUUGGUCAAUAGCAGGUGUUGUCAUGUUUGAUUUUGUCAGUGACGAUCAGAUUGCAAGCAUCCAGGAUUUUGGCUCUGAUCCAGUGCUAGCAGUGAGCAAGGCCAUCGAAGGCAUUGAAAACUGGAUAAACCAUAUGAACGAUAUGCUUUAUGAUGCUCACGAGUACAUCACUGAAAUAAUAUUUAAUCCGAGGGAAGCUAUUAGUUUAGCAGCUGACUCAUCUGUGUCUUAUCUGUCAGGAAUAUUUAGUGCUGAUGGAGAUUCAGGAGUCACUGAAACAGUGAAAUAUGGUGGCACUGUAUUGGAUGAGGCUACAGAAUGGAUCAGAACCCCAGUGAGCUACUUAUUCCACUUGUUUGAAGACAUAUUGGAUAUAGUGAUUACUCCAGUGGAUAUGGUCACUGAAGUUGCUGUGCAAAUUUUAAGUGGGAUCAAGACCAUUAUACAAUAUAUUUCAACCAUGUUUGGGGGCAUUGAAGGGGAUACAGGCAUCACUGAAACAGUGAAACUUGGUGGUACUUUAUUGGAUGAGGUUACUGAAUGGAUCAGAUUCCCAGUGGGCUACUUAUUCCACUUAUUUGAAGGCAUCUUGGAUGUAGCAAUCAUUUAUCCAGGGGACAUUGCCACUGAAGCAGUUCUGCAAAUUUUAAGUGGGAUCAAGACCAUUUCUUCAACCAUAUUUGGAUACCUUGAAGUUUGGUUUCCCAAAAUGAGCACUGGUCCCGCAGAACUGGCUGAAAUUGUUGUAGAGAAGGCCACAGACAUAAAGACCACUGUCUCUAAUUACCUAACCAGUCUGUUUGCAGUGGAUGAAGGUGGUAUUCCUGACAUUAGCUUUGAUCCCAUGAAAGUUGUCACAGACACUGUUGAGGAGUUUGCUGACAGGAGGGAUAUGUUCUUGGCCUAUCUCUCCAACAUGGAAGACAAAGAUGACACACCGCAAGUGAUAAGACGGAAAGGAGAAUUUCUGCCCCCUAUGGAAAAAGUUCUUGAACAAGUGAAAGAAGCCAAAGAGAAAAAAGCUAGAGAGGAGAUAUACAAAAUCAUUCAAGAUAUGAGGGAAAAGAAGGCUGAAAGUAAAGAGGAAGAGAUAACACUGCAACGAAUAAACAUAACAGUAGAAAAAGUCAAGAAGAAAAAGGAGAUAGAAAAGGCUAAAAGAAAAGAAAAAUCCAAAGAGGACAAGACUCGAGAACCAACAGAAAAGGACACCAAGAAAAAAACUGAGAAAAAGGUCAAGGUGACUAAAGUGGGCGAGGAACCCCCUCUAAAAAAGAAGAAAUCUGAAGCUAAAAUGGCCAAAAAAGAGACCAAACUAGCAACAUCUAAGAAAGAGCCUCGAGUUACAAAAGAAAAGGCUAAACCAGCUCGUUCAAAGAAAGAGCCUGAGGUUUCCAAAGAGAAGGCCAAGCUGAAGCCCUCAAAGAAAGAAGCUAAAGCUCCCAAGGACAAAAUUAAACCGGCCCUUUUGAAGAAAGAGCCUGAUGUUUCUAAGGAGAAAGAAAAACCACCAACUGCAAAGAAAGAAGAAAAGCCAACAACCGCUAAAAAAGAGCCUGCAGUUGCAGAAGAGAAAGUCAAACCAGUGCCCUCAAAGAAAGAUACUAAAGCUAUUAAGGAGAAAGUGAAACCAGCCCCAGUUAAGAAAGAGCCUGAGGUUUCCAAAGAAAAAGCCAAGCCAAAACGUUUAAAGAAAGAGGCUAAAUCUGUUGAAGAGAAGGCAAAACCAGCACCAGCUAAAAAAGAGAAGGAGAAACCUCCAAAGAAAGCUGUAAAAGAAAAGCCCAAACCUGCUUCUGUAAAGAAAGAACCUAAAUUUCCAAGAGAGAAAGCAAAACCUAAACCUUCCAAAAAAGAGGCAGAAGUUGCCAAAGACAAGCAUAAACCUGUCACUGUGAAGAAAGAACCUGCUGUUGCAGUUGAAAAGGCAAAACCGAAACCUGCACCAAAGAAAGUUACCAAAGAGAAAGCUAAACCAGAACCUGCAAAGAAAGAACCUGAGAUAACCAAAGAAAAACCGAGAGCACCAAAGAGAAAGGCUCAAGUUAUUAAGGAGGAAGCUAAACCAGCUCCUGCAAAAAAAGUCUUCAAAGAUGUUAAACCAGCCCUUAAGAGAAGAGAGGCUAAAGUAAUGAAGAAGAAAGUUAAACCGACUCCUGUAAAGAAAGAGCCUGAAGUUGCUAAAGAAAAGGCACCUGAAUCAGCACCAAGAAUAGAAAAGCCAAAGCCAGCACCAAAGAUAGUGGCUAAAGUCAUCAAGGAGAAACCUAAACCAGUUCCUGAGAAGAAAGAAGCUGUAAUCAUCAAAAAGAAAGUUAAACUGGCUCCAGUAAAGAAAGCACCUGAGAUAAUCAAAGAAAAGCCAAAGCCAGCACCAAAGAAAGAGGCUGAAGUCAUCAAAGAGAAAGCUAAACCAACUCCUGAAAAGAAAGUCAUCAAGGAGAAACCUAAACCAGUUCCUGAGAAGAAAGAAGCUGUAAUCAUCAAAAAGAAAGUUAAACUGGCUCCAGUAAAGAAAGCACCUGAGAUAGUCAAAGAAAAGCCAAAGCCAGCACCAAAGAAAGAGGCUGAAGUCAUCAAAGAGAAAGCUAAAGCAACUCCUGAAAAGAAAGAGACCGAAGUCAUCAAGGAGAAAGUUAAACCAGCCCCUGUAAAGAAAGUUAAAGUUCCAAAGGAAAAGACAAAACUUGUCCUUGAAGCAAAGGAACCCAAAAUAACUAAGGAAAAGCCAAAGCCAGCACCAAAGAAAGAAGCUUUAGUCAUCAAAGAGAAAGCUAAACCAGCCCCUGUGAAGAAAGAGUCUGAAAUUAUCAAGGAAGAAAGAAAGAAAGCUAAACCAGCUCCUAAGAAGAAAGUGGCUGAAGUCACCAAGGAGAAAGCUAAGCAAGCUCCGAUGAAGAAAGAGCCUGAAGUCACUAAAGAAAAGUUAUUAGAACCAACUCCAAAAAAAGAGCUCCUGAACUCUAUCAGCCAAAAACUGUCUCUUCUGGAUUUACUGAGGAAGGACAUUGGUGAAAUGAAGAGUGAUCUGGAGUCCACUCAAAAUCAAAUUACGCUUUUACGAAUGGACAACAGAACAAUCAAAGAGCCAAAGACUGUUGGUGUAAAGGUAAAACCAGCAGUCUCCAAGGAAAAGGUCAAAACAGCAAAAAAAGACCAUGAUGCUCUGAUGAACGUUACAGCACAUAUUAAAGCAGAAGCUGAAAUCAUCAAAAAGAUAAAAGAUAAAGUUAAACUGGCUCCUUUAAAGAAAGAACGUGAUGCACUGAAAAACAUCACUAAACCAGCACCUGCAAAGAAAGAUAAAGAGGCUCCAAAAGCUAAGAUCAGACCACAGCCCAAAAAGAAAGAAAUCACCCAUGAGAAGGUCAAACAAGUAAAGGAACCUUUACAGAAAGAACCUAAGCAGGUCAAAGAAAAAGUCGAGCCAACUAAGAAGGAGGCUGUUGUGGGCAAGGAAGUAAAAGGAGAAGAACCUGAUGUCUCCAAAGAUAUUCCAGAGAUGGAGGAUGAGGAUGUUCCCUACUUCCAGUGUUUCUUUGUGGAUGAGGAUGAUACUCAGUAUCCAUUCUUCCCCUUUUCACCACCGCUGUGGUGA